RNAcentral lists this ribosomal RNA (414 nucleotides) under uncultured microorganism. RNAcentral's name for it is "bacterial SSU rRNA". It matches the Rfam family "Archaeal small subunit ribosomal RNA", at positions 459 to 872 of the family's 1478-position model. The record is from RNAcentral.
CAGCAGCCGCGGUAAUACCGGCGGCCCGAGUGGCGGUCACUAUUAUUGGGCUUAAAGCGUCCGUAGCCGGGUUGGGAAGUCCUCCGGGAAAUCUGGCCGCUUAACGGUCAGAAUGCCGGAGGAUACUCCCAGCCUAGGGAGCGGGAGAGGCCGAGGGGAUUCCCGGAGGAGGGGUGGAAUCCUAUAAUCCCGGGAGGACCACCUGUGGCGAAGGCGCUCGGCUGGAACGCGUCCGACGGUGAGGGACGAAGGCCAGGGGAGCAAACCGGAUUAGAUACCCGGGUAGUCCUGGCUGUAAACGAUGCGGACUUUGUGUCGGACAAGCUAUGAGCUUGUCCGGUGCCGGAGGGAAACCGUUAAGUCCGCCGCCUGGGGAGUACGGCCGCAAGGCUGAAACUUAAAGGAAUUGGCGGG